This 9799-nucleotide long non-coding RNA is filed under the name Marmota monax (woodchuck). The record is from RNAcentral. Lineage: Eukaryota; Metazoa; Chordata; Mammalia; Rodentia; Sciuridae.
UACUCGUUACAUAACACAUCCUGUUGCCGAUCUUCUACUGGGUAUGCUCUAAAUGGUAAAUACCACUAGGAGAGGCAGACAGGAAGGGGCGGAGCGCCCGCCGGCCCAGCACCGCACCCGAGCUAGCGACCGCUGCGGGAGGCGCGAGUUAGCCCGGCGGCCGCUUUGCUAUCCCGGCCCUUUGAUCCUGGCCGUUGCUCCGGGGCCGGCAGAGACUACGAUGAACCUCGGUUCCAGGCGCUGGGCAGGCAGCGAUAUUGGGUCCAUGGCUCCAGCGAUGACUCCGGUGGCGGCUCCGUUGUCCCUGGCUGUCAAGGCCCCAAACCCGGCAGCAGCCCCCACCUCCUAUGGGGUCUUCUGCAAGGGGCUCUCUCGCACCCUGCUCGCCUUCUUCGAGCUGGCCUGGCAGCUUCGGAUGAACUUCCCGUAUUUCUACAUCGCAGGCUCGGUGAUCCUCAACAUCCGCUUGCAGGUACACAUUUAGAAAAGUGACUAAGCUGCCGGCCUUGGGCGGCUAGCAUGAUGGCCGACUCCCAGGCAUUCCCGGGACUUAGUGAACCUGCGAGCGAGGAGCUCGGAGAUCUCGCGAGGGGGCCCGGACGCACUCCGCGCCUGCGCUCUGCGCUCCUAGCGCUCCCAGCGCUCCCUGGACCGUGGCGGGACCCCUGCUAGGACCAAAAAGAGGCCUUAGGGGAGUCCGGGAAUUGAGACCUUCAGCUAAAACCAAAAAAAAAAAAAAUCAGAAACUUUGUAUUCUUAAACUCCGAUCGAAUUCCAGGAUAUAACAGAAGGACACAGAAUAUAUCAUUAAAAAGGAAGACCGAAUUUUUCAGGAAAAAAAAAAAUUGUGCAACAAAUUCAUGGCCUGAGUGAAAAUUAAGAAAUCAGUAAACUUAGGGAAUACCGGUGUGGAUUGUUAGCAAGACGCUGAAGAAAAAGCCGAUGGUAUUAAGGAUAUGAAAUGGAAGGCAUAUGUUUUUUCAUCCCACGUGAAGGACGAAGCAAAACUGUACAGGAAAAACAUCCUCCAAACACUAAAUGUGAAAUGCUGCACGAUUUUGAACAAAUGGUAGAAGCGUGAGAAAAUGCAUUCUGCUUUAACUUCCUGUGAGCAGCAUUGGGAUCACGAUCUUUGCAAAAAGGAAAUCCAAACAGCAUAAAACUUGGCUAUUCAUUGAAUAAUAUUUUACCAUCAUAAUGCAAAUUCUAUGUGUGGUUUUUUUCCCCUUCUAAGGAAAUAUUUAAUUAUGGUUACAGAAUAGAAUGUGAAAGUCAUUAGUCUUGAUGUAAAAAUACAAAUGGGAAUGUUGUAGGAGGGAGGAAAACGUAAUUGGAAUGGUUACAUGUUCUAAUAAAGUGAAGAGUUGAGAGACACAGUCUGUUGUGAAGGGAAAAGAAGAUAUUUUGUUACUGACAAGGUAGCCAUGGUUUCUAAACUAGAAAUAUAACUAUUAAAGUGGGAAGGUGGGAGGUGAGAACACCAUGAAGUCAACAGGAAAUCCUGAAGAUGGAGAGUUCAGGUAGGACUCCUCAAAAAGAAAAAUUGAUAAGAGUACCUGGUGUAUUUGAAUGUAGACUAGGAAUUUUUCAAAGAGGCUGGGGUGAAUUAUUAGUCUGCAGCCUUUUCAAAAUUCAGAAAACAAAACUAAUAAAUCCAAGGAAAAAUGAAAAGUUAUAAAAAAAUAUAUUGCAACUGAAUAUUAGUCAUGUAAAUUCACUUAUAGAUAUUGACUACUAGUUUAGCAAAUGAUUAUAUAGCAUUUGAGAAAAUGGAAGAGGAGAGAGACAUAAUUGUGAAAAGUCAAAUCAAGAUUAAUAUGGGGGUGGAGGUGAGUGCUUCCCUAGCAUCCACCAGGACUGGAUUCAGUCUGUGUGUGUGUAUGUGUGUGUGUGUAUACCCAUAUAUGUAUAUCCAGAAAAAGUGAUACAAACAUGUUUUUCAGAAAUAUCUGCAGUAAGAAACAGGUUACAAGCUGUUGUCUCUGGAAGAAGGAAAUAAAGGGUAGGUCAUAAAAAGGCCAAGUUUUGCUUUUUUUUUCACUACCAGUUUAAUAGUAUUAUUUGAUUUCUUUUAACUAUGUGUAAGCUUUUGUUUAAUUGAAAACUUACUUAAAUACAUUUCCUUUUUAAAAGUUCCCUAGGCAAUUUAAAUAUAUACCACUGGUUAAAAGUCACAAGAGUAGAAUGGGACUGGGCUGCUCAAUCAGGCAAACUUCUUCAAAUAUUCAUAUUCUGUAGUUUUGUGGUGAGAGAUAGAUCCAUUAAUCUUCCUAAACCUAUUUCCUCAUCUGUAAAUGAGGGUAAUACCCCCACCUUGAAAGUUAGUCUAAGAACUAGAAGUAAACCUGCCCUAGUUCUUCAUAUAUCCAUAAUAAACAAUAUUUCUUAUAAUAAUACCACGUUAGAAAGUGAAUAAGAUGUAAAAGGACAUAUAGAAAGAUGCUUUUCCAAAAGAAGUUUUAAGUUCUAAAGAAGGUGACAAGUAGGGUGGUGAUCAUAGAAGGAUGGAAAAGAUGCUCUAGAAUGAUCCUAGCUGAGAUAUUUGCACACAAGGGGGCCAUGUUUGCCUGAGUAAAGAUUUAAAUGCUGGCACUGUUCUAUAUUCUGGUUGUGUCUGUCAAACAAUAGUCUUAAAAUAAGAGGAGUCCUGCCCCUGCCUCACCUUACCUGGCUUUGGGCUCUUCCUACUCUAUUCCUUUUCUGCAGCCAAACUUAUCAAGUAUAUCUUCCUCUUCUAUCUGCUUUUUUGCCCAUAGAUGUUCUUCCUGUUUUAAGGACAAGUUUAGGUAAUACUUUUUCCAUUAUUUUUUCCCAAAUUCCCCUGAACAGAUUGGGGCUUACAAUUUCUAAUCCAUCUAAGAUCUGUUAAUAUCAAUGCUGUUUUUAUAGGCUUCCCACAUUUUCCUAAUAGUAAGUUAAUUAUCGGGUUUUCUUUUUGUUUCAUAUAUUCCAAGAACACAGAUUUCUUGGAUGACUAAAGAGCCAAAACAUUUUAGUCUAAAAUAUUAUAAGGUAGUUCAGUCGAUGUAAUUGUAAUACUGAAGCACUUAGAAUAGUAGGUAUUAUAUUCCAGAAGCACUAAUGUCCCAGUUUGUAACAUUUUAAAAAUCUGUUUGCCAUUAGCACUAAAAUUGUGACACAGUGGAGUACUUUAUUUUGGUAACUGUAUGAACAUGUUUCCAUCAGCUUUUUAUUAUAAUAUCUUUUAUUACAUUAAAGAAACUAAGGCCUUUAUAGCAGUUAAAAUAUUUAUCUCUUCCUCCCACUAGAUUGGAAGCUGUGAGAAGGAAGCUUCUGUAUCCUAUCCAAUCUUACAUCCUGUAGUAUCAGCAAAUUUAUAGUAGGAUCUAAAUGUCAGCUUGGUGAUUUGCCCUUUCAUCUUCAUAAAUGCUUCCAAACCUUGAUAUGUAUUUUUCCUCUUACAUGACGCAAUUUGGUGAAGUUUCCCAGGGAGAAAAUGAAAUUUAUGCUAUGACUAAAUCUCUUACUGUUCUAAUUCACAAUUAAUUUUAUUCCUCUUGGCACACUUACAGGAACAUCCAGGAGGCCAUGGAUUUGUUUCCUGCUCUAUCAUCAAGCCUAGAACAUUAUUGUCUGAUGCAAAGCAAAGAACAAAUAUUGCUGAAUAGGUAAACGAAUGCCAAUUUAGUUGGUUAUUCAGUACAGUCAAUAGUCAGUAAAGGAAACAAAGUUAUGUUUGCCUCUAAUAUCAAAGUGUUCCACUUUAUUACCCAUAAAUUGAAUUUUUCAAAUCAUCAUGAAUGUUGGUUUGUCUAGAGAUCCCCUCAAGCAUGAAGAAGCAGAGAGGUUGUGUGAUUAUUACACAUAAAGAAAAAAAAACUUGUUCAGGAAGUAUGACCAAUUUUUAAAAUUACUGAGGAAUGGUAACUGUCAUACUUUAAUAUGCUUUAACAGAGAAUUAGUCAACACGAUAACAUAAAUGAAAGGGUAGAAAAGUUUUUUUUAUUUUUUUAAUUCAAGGUAAAAGUAUGUGAUUAUUUGACCUAAUGAGCAAAUCAUCACCAUGAACAUUUUUAAUUUUAUUGAGUUUUUAAUAUUAGGAAUUGUGAACUUAUUUAAAUAUAUUAGCUCCAUAAUUCUCACAUAUAUCAUAUGAGGAAAGCAUUUUUAUCACUACUUCUCAGAUAAAGGAACAGGAUUUAGAUUCAGUUCCCAAGGUCAUGGGAAUUAAGUCUCUAGAUGUCCCUAGAAGUAUAUUUCAUAAGGGGUUCCAUUUUCUUUUUUUUUUUCAGUGUUUAGGUGAUUCCAAAUAAUCUUCUCUUCCAAAUUGCCAAACAGAAAUAUGACCUGAUGAAGAGUGAAUUUUUUCUUUUUCUAAUGUAAUAGUAAGAGCCUUUUGUAUUAGAAUAUAAAUAUUAAACAAUUUAAUAUGUGAAUUUAAGCAUUUUGUACUUUCUGCUGCCCUUUAUCAUUGGAAAAAGGGGACAAAAGCAAAGAGAAAAGAACAUUUUCCCUAAAAUGGAAGGGAAGUAUUUUCUCUUUUAUACACAGUAGAUAUCAGGCAUUUUGAAUUUUGAUCCUUGCUGUCCUGAUGUGCUGUAACUAAAUUUUCUAUUACAGAAUCUUGCAGUUUGAUUUUAAUGGAGGAUUUAUCUGCCUUUGAUGCAGUCAAGAAGAAAUAAGGCAUACACAUGAGGCAUAAAAGGUAGAAAUGAAAGUUGAGUAUUAUAGGAACAAAAGGUGAGGGGAAGGAAAAUUCUACUUCUAAAAACUUUGAGCAUGGAGAAUAACCUGAAGACUAGAUUUGGGAGAUUUUUAAGCACAUAGACCAAGAAAAGGAUCUUGCAAAAACUAUUAAAAUUCCCAAAACUUGGGUUGGAUGAAGUCACGUCAGUCCAUUACUUAGAUUUCUGUGAAUUUGCGGGAUUCUCUUGCAAUUUUAACAAGAACACUUGUGCUGUGAUCUAAAUGUUUAUGUCCUUCUGACCCUACCAAAUUCAUAACCCUGAGAUUUUAGCCCUCAAGAUGAUAGUAUUAGGAAACGGGAUUUUUAAGAGGCUAUUAUGUCAUGAGGACGGGAGCUUUCAUGAAUGGGAUUCAUGCCUUUAAAUAAGAGUCCCAGAGAAAAUUCACUUUCAUGUACAGUUAAGAGUGAAAACAGAGCCAUCUAUGAACAAACAAGGGGGCCCUCACCAGAUGUUGAUUUGUCUAUGUACUUCUUAGCCUCCAGAUGUAUAAGAAAUAAAUUUCUGUUGUUUAUAAGUCACCCAGUUCCUGAUAGGUUGUUAAUAAUAGCUUAACAGUCUGAAUAGAUUGAGACAACUUGAUAGCCUAUUGCUCAGAAGGAUUCCCAUCAGGCCAGCUCACCAAUCUCUUUCAGGACAGAAUUAAAUCUCCCCCACCUACAUUCUCCAUAAAUACAAAAUCAGCAAUGUCCUUGGGAGAAUUGAUCGGCCAAAGGACAUCCCCCAAUUGCCUGCUACAAGUGAAAAUAAGAAACUAAGCAAUUCUGAUAAGCUAAAUGACAGGACAUCUGAGGGUUUCUAUCCUGAUUAGGAAUCUGCAGUGAACUUGAGAAAAUCUUGACCAUCUUUAUGACUUUCAACACCAAAUAUUCACAGUGAGGUAAUGACAUGCAUCAGCAAAUAACAGGAACAGAGUUCUUUUGUAAAUUAGGGAAAUUGGGUAUGCCUUUUCAUGAACCAAAAUAAGGAAAAUAAAUCGGCAUGCAACCAAUAAUGUAAUAACUAGAAUGUCUUAACUCUGAACUCAUCUACAAAUGAAGUUAAAAAAAAAUUAAAAGAGAAACUUUAAAAUUCAGAUACCAGGUUAUAUCUACAAGAGAGGGAAACUAAAUUACUUCUAAAACCAUCUCAUUUACAUGUAGGCAAUAGGGGCACUAAUAAAAAAGUUGGGAUUGAGCCUUUGUCCUCUGAAAGUGCAUCUAUAUUGGUACUCCCACACAUACCAAAUAGCUAAAAAUAGUCCAUCUGUCAUGUUUGGUUUCUUAUACAAAUAAACCUGUCACCCACCCCAAAAUUUUUCACAUUUUUGUAAAUUGCUCAGACCAACCAUCUGACCAAUUUUUUUUUUUUUAAUUGGAGGUGUAUUCUUAGCAAUCCAGAUUAGAGUAUAGGUCACUCUACACAGUGCUAACCAAUGUUUCCCAGUAAGUAGACUGUAGAAGUGGAGGUUUACAGAUGUCCCCUUGUAUGCAAUUAAAGAAGUCCCUGGUUCAAAUGAUAUUAAAUUAAGAGCAGCAGCAAACCAGCUAAGCCAUCCAAGAUUAACUCAAGACUUAGAUGCUUUGAAAUAUAUAUUGAUCCAUGCAUACUUCCAGAAAAUUUCAAAAUAACAUGGCUUGAAUGCUCUAAAAUAUAUUCUCAGCUUAAAUUUUAACCUGAUGCAGGGCUUACAUAUAAGCCUCUUUGGGCAGCUCUUCUAUAACUCAAUGGUAUGACCACACAGGGAAUAAAAGGAGGGAGGGGGGUUCAUAAUUAAAAGUUCAGGUUAGGGGAAAGUGAUUGGCAAGAAAUCAAUGACGAUCAUUUUUUUCCCCAAAUAUGUAACCCUAGUGUAGGAUACAAUUCUCUCCAGAUCCCAUGACACCAGUUAUAAUAAUAGUGUACUUAGAUUCUAGUUUGGGCCUCCAACACAGGCUCUUAUUAUGAGUGUUGGUACAGAGCUUAUUCUUAAAAUACCAUUAUACUAGAAUGCAAUAUAUUAAUAGCCACUGUCCCAGCCUAUGCCCUAGGCUUUGUCUUUUUUUAUUUUAUUUAUUUAUUAAUUUUAAUUAGGUAUAUAUGACAGCAGAAUGCAUUUUGAUUCAUUGUGCGUAAUUGCAGCACAACUUUUCAUUUGCCUGGUUGUACACGAUGUAACAUCACACUAUAUGUGCAGUCAUACACAUACCUAGAAUGAUGUUCAUCUCAUUCCAUCAUCUUUCCUGCCCCCAUGCCCUCUCCCCAUUCCACCUCCCCUUUGCCCAAUCAAAGUUCUUAGGCUUUAUCUUUUAAAGGUCAUUUACUGUGCUUCUAUUGUAAGCAAUAGGUAGGCCCUGCUCCUUAUAGCUCCAACUUUCCAAGGUUAGUACAUGAGAAGUGGGGCCUUCAUUCUAACAAAACGUUUACACAGGGGCUGUGUGUGGUUAUUUAAAUGUGUUUGCUUUAAAUACAAGUUUAGUAGUACUAAACUAAAUAUUGUUGGAAUGUUCUAAUAAUUGCAAAGUAAUUUAAACUUUUUUUACUAAAAGGGGUACAUUCUAAACCAAAUUAUCCUAUCAGAACCUAAAUAUAGCCAGUGUGGUUUUAACUUUACCCUUCCUAAAGAAAGAUAAUUCCAAUGAUAAUCUUUAGGACAUUUCUUAUACAGUAUCUAACAAUGAAUGGAGUUGUACAAUAUAAAUAUCUGUAUAGAUCUGGAUAUAUAUGUAUCACUGUCAUAGACAUCAAAGCAGCACACAGCAGUUUCCUGGAGUAAAAAUGCUUUUCAAAACCCUGAUGGUUCUUAACAUUCUUUUCAACAUCUACUACUGAUGUGCUGCUUCAUCAAAAUUAACUUAAAACCACCAUAUUUUUAGCACUUAUGUUCUGUAGUUUUUGUUAUUGUUGUUUAUCAUUAAAAAGUGUUUGUAGUUGUAAACCUUGACAUAUUUCUUCACUGAUAGUUUUGAUAUUUACAAUUAUAAUUACUAAAAUAUUGUAAAAUACUAUAUUCAAAAUUAUAUUAUUAGCAAGCACAAUUAACAACCUGCUGGCCUUAAGAUUAUAUACAUUUUCAACUACUUUGAUUUAACUUAAUUAUUUUAUGAUAAAGUCAACACAGCACUAAACACACAAACAUGUCUAAAAUCCAUGCUCUUUUUCUAUUCUUAUCCCUCAUGAGUUUAUUGCUUUAGUUUUCUCUAAUAAGAGAUACUACAUUCAUGGUAUCUCAGUUCACUUUCUGUCAUUACAGCAAAAUACCCAAGUGUAAGCAAUUUAUAGAGAAAAGUUCAUUUAGCUCACAGUUCUGGAAGCCCAAGAGCAUGAUGCCGGCUGGCAUCUGCUCAGCAUCUAUUGUGGCAAAAGGACAGCACAUGGUGAGAGAGGCAGCAAGAGCAGAAGUGAGCAUGUGAGGAAGAAAGGCAGUAUGUUCAAAAAACCAAGAGGAAAAAACCAAAAAACCAGACUUGCUCUAUAAUCACCCAUCCUGAAGCUACCAAUCCAGUCCCCUGAGAACAAGAACUGAGUCUGGAGAGAAGCAUUAAAACCUCCUUAAAUUUUUGUGUUAGUCAGCUUUCAAUCACUAUAACAAAACACCUGACACAGGCUACUUAAGAAAUAAAGACAGGUUUAUUUUCCUUCCUUGUUCUGUAUUCAAGUCCAAGAUCAGGUAGCCCCAUAGGGGCCCCUGGUGAGGGUGGCACAUUAUUGCAGGAGUGCAUAUGAAGAGCAAGCCAGUGAUUACAUCUCAACCCACAAGCAGAAAAAGAGGAAAAGAGCAUGUCCUCAAGACCUAAGACCCUCCUACUGUGUCCCACAUCCUAAAGGUUCCACCACCUUCAAAUAGUGCCACCAAGCACUAUUUGAAUCAAGUGGAUCAAGCCUUUAAACACAUGAACCUUUGGAGAACAUUUAACAUCCAAACUGUAGCAAGCCCUACCUCCCAACACCACUGUGUUGGCAAUCAAAUUUCAACUUAACUUUUAAUGUGGACAAGAAGAACAUCCAAAACAUAGCACAUGAUAUGACAAAAAUGCUGUUAUGUGUCACUUAACAAUAGGGACACUUUCUAAGAAAUGUGUCAUUAAGUGAUUUUAUAAUUGUGUGAACUUCAUAGAGUGUACUUGUAGAUGAUAUGGACUAUUACAUACCGAGGCUGAACAAUACAGCCUUUUGCUCUUAGACACCAAACCUAUAUAGCAUGUUACAGUACUAGAUACUUCAGGUAAUUGUAACCCAAUGAUAAGUAUUCAUGUAUCUAAGCAUUUCUAAACAUUAAAAAAAUGCAACAAAAACAAUAUAAAAAUGUACACCAGUAUAGAGCACUUACCAUGAAAAACUUUGAGGAAUAUAAAUUGCUCUCAGUGAGUCAGCAAGUGAGUGGGGAGUGAAUGUGAAGGCCUAGGAUAUUCUGUACACAACUGCAGACUUUAUAAACACUCUACAUGUAGGCUACACUAUAUAUUAAAACUUUUUUUUCAAUAAUGAAUUAGCCUUAGUUUACUGUAACUAUUUACCAUAUAACAUGCUUUUUUUAAAUUUUUGACUCUUGGAAUAACACCUGUCUUAAAACACAAACACAGUAUACAGCUGUAUAUAUUUUCUUUAUAUCCUUAUUCUAUAAACUUUUGAUAUUUUUAGGAUUUUUUUCAUUCCUUUACUUUUUACGUCAUUUUUGUUCAAAACUAAGACAAGCACAUGCAUUACCUUGAUCUACACAAGGUCAGGAUCAUCACUAUCACUGUCUUCCACCUCCAAAUCUUGUCCACUGGCCGGUCUUCAGGGGCGGUAAUGUGCUUCGAGCCGUUAUCUCCUGUGACACAGUGCAUUCUCCUGGAACCAGUCCUGAUCACAACUGGAAGUACAGGAGGUCUGUUUUUACCAGCAUUACCAUAAACACAUGAGAAAUUCAUUGUACUACAGCAUUACAAUAGCUAUCGAGUCACCAGGUGUUAGGAAUGUGUGAGCUUCAUUAUAAUCUUAUGGAAACAGUUCUAUAUGUGGUUCAUCAUCAUGUGGCACAUGAUUAUACAAACUUAUACACACACACACACACUUUUAUCCUUGCAAAGUAGAAAUAACAGUGUUUUUUACACUUAAGGAAAAUUAUACAAUUUCCUAUAAAUUUAGUUGAU